This 468-nucleotide ribosomal RNA is filed under the name uncultured bacterium. RNAcentral's name for it is "partial 16S ribosomal RNA". It matches the Rfam family "Bacterial small subunit ribosomal RNA", at positions 28 to 507 of the family's 1533-position model. The record is from RNAcentral.
GACGAACGCUGGCGGCGGGCUUAACACAUGCAAGUCGAACGGAAAGGCCCUGCUUUUGUGGGGUGCUCGAGUGGCGAACGGGUGAGUAACACGUGAGUAACCUUCCCUUGACUUUGUGAUAACUUCAGGAAACUGGGGCUAAUACCUGAUAGGAGCUCCUGCUGCAGGGGGGUGGUUGGAAAGUUUCGGCGGUUGUGGAUGGAUUGUGGGCUUAUGAGCUUGUUGGUGGGGUAGUGGCUUACGAAGGCUUUGGCGGGUGGCCGGCCUGGGAGGGUAACCGGGCACAUUGGGACUGAGGUAGGGACCAGACUCCUACAGGGGGCAGCAGUGGGGAAUAUUGCACAAUCGGCGGAAGCCUGAUGAAGCAACGCCGCGUGCGUGAUGACGGCCUUCGGGUUGUAAACCGCUGUAGCCUGUGACGAAGCGGGAGUGACGGUACUGGGUAAAGAAGCACCGGCUAACUACGUG